CCUGAAAGGUUUUGCGAACCUCCAUUUUAUAUUCACAACAGCUCUCAAACUUAAGGGUUCCUGGCUCCUUUCAGAAUUAGGUCACAGUAAGCCAUGUGUUGAAUUGCAGACAGAAGCAAAUGUGAUGAAAUGUCAUGGGUGAACCAGAAGCCUGUGGAGUAUAUGUGGAUUGACUACAAACAAAAACAGCUGAAAUCUCAUAAAAGAACAAUUGUUUAAUAUAUUUGAAGACCGAAGAGCUUCAGAUAAUUGUUAUGUAAACCUCAAAACUUUUUGAGAUUUAACCAGUGUUACAUUUAUCCUUACAGGAGACUUCUCCAUUGGCAACUGACUUCAGUAAUUCACUGUCAUUUAAUAAAAUAUUAUGCUGUUA
Molecule: long non-coding RNA, 373 nt
Organism: Alligator mississippiensis (American alligator)
Lineage: Eukaryota; Metazoa; Chordata; Crocodylia; Alligatoridae
Exons: 2
Source: RefSeq, a predicted model, not a curated record